RNAcentral lists this non-coding RNA (27 nucleotides) under Cricetulus griseus (Chinese hamster). The record is from RNAcentral. Lineage: Eukaryota; Metazoa; Chordata; Mammalia; Rodentia; Cricetidae.
AUCAUACAUAAUAUAUCACCACGUUGA